This is a long non-coding RNA of Dromaius novaehollandiae (emu), 921 nucleotides long. RefSeq lists it as uncharacterized. The transcript has 6 exons. NCBI's taxonomy places the organism in Eukaryota, Metazoa, Chordata, Aves, Casuariiformes, Dromaiidae. The record is from RefSeq and is a predicted model, not a curated record.
GGCAGCCCACCAAAGGGGGACAUCUCGAAGAGAAGCAGCAAGACCUGGGGAUCCGGUGGUUCAUUUUGGUCAUCGCCUGUGAGGCCAGCGUCCGAGCGUAAGAGGAAGCUAGGAGCUGUGUCGAAAAGAGAUGGAACCAAGGACAGCAAAUGCUGACGAAGAGAAGAGACGGACAAGCGUUUUCUUGUGGUUAAUACCGAAGGGACGGGAUGAAACAAGGAAGCCAGAAUGCAGCGGCCCCUCGAUAUCACCAGGAACUGCUGCAGGAGGAGGUGUUCUGGCACGGGUAACUAAGGCAGCUACGGAAAGGAAUAGAUGUCAUCCUUACUUUUUUAGAUUAAUUGCCACGGCUGAAGUUGAAGAGACCAAGAAAGGUACGCACCGAAAGGGCACAUCUUGAAGAGAGGCGGCUAGACCUAGCGAUCCAGUUGUUCGUUUUGGUCGUCGCCUGUGAGGCCAGCGUCCGAGCGUAAGAGGAAGCUAGGAGCUGUCUCAAAAAGAGAUGGAACCAAGGACAGCAAAUGCUGACGAAGAGAAGAGACGGACAAGCGUUUUCUUGUGGUUAAUACCGAAGGGACGGGAUGAAACAAGGAAGCCAGAAUGCAGCGGCCCCUCGAUAUCACCAGGAACUGCUGCAGGAGGAGGUGUUCUGGCACGGGUAACUAAGGCAGCUACGGAAAGGAAUAGAUGUCAUCCUUACUUUUUUAGAUUAAUUGCCACGGCUGAAGUUGAAGAGACCAAGAAAGGUACGCACCGAAAGGGCACAUCUUGAAGAGAGGCGGCUAGACCUAGCGAUCCAGUUGUUCGUUUUGGUCGUCGCCUGUGAGGCCAGCGUCCGAGCGUAAGAGGAAGCUAGGAGCUGUCUCAAAAAGAGAUGGAACCAAGGACAGCAAAUGCUGACGAAGAGAAGAGACGGACAAG